This 484-nucleotide ribosomal RNA is filed under the name uncultured bacterium. RNAcentral describes it as "partial 16S ribosomal RNA". It matches the Rfam family "Bacterial small subunit ribosomal RNA", at positions 30 to 507 of the family's 1533-position model. The record is from RNAcentral.
AUUGAACGCUGGCGGCAGGCCUAACACAUGCAAGUCGAGCGGAAGAAGGGAGCUUGCUCCUGGAUUCAGCGGCGGACGGGUGAGUAAUGCCUAGGAAUCUGCCUGGUAGUGGGGGAUAACGUCGGGAAACGGGCGCUAAUACCGCAUACGUCCUGAGGGAGAAAGUGGGGGAUCUUCGGACCUCACGCUAUCAGAUGAGCCUAGGUCGGAUUAGCUAGUUGGUGGGGUAAAGGCCUACCAAGGCGACGAUCCGUAACUGGUCUGAGAGGAUGAUCAGUCACACUGGAACUGAGACACGGUCCAGACUCCUACGGGAGGCAGCAGUGGGGAAUAUUGGACAAUGGGCGAAAGCCUGAUCCAGCCAUGCCGCGUGUGUGAAGAAGGUCUUCGGAUUGUAAAGCGCUUUAAGUUGGGAGGAAGGGCAGUAAGUUAAUACCUUGCUGGUUUGACGGUACCAACAGAAUAAGCACCGGCUAACUUCGUG